This is a non-coding RNA of halophilic archaeon J07HB67, 86 nucleotides long. Lineage: Archaea; Methanobacteriati; Methanobacteriota; Halobacteria; Halobacteriales. The record is from Rfam.
GCCGAGGUAGCCUAGCCUGGCCAAGGCGGUUGAUUCGAGAUCAACUGUCCACUCCGGACACAGGAGUUCAAAUCUCCUCCUCGGCG